Molecule: long non-coding RNA, 2484 nt
Filed under: Struthio camelus australis
Lineage: Eukaryota; Metazoa; Chordata; Aves; Struthioniformes; Struthionidae
Description: lncRNA (ENSSCUG00000007241.1)
Source: RNAcentral
UCUGUGACAAUUUUAGUGAUUAACUAAGUGCUAAUUAUAAAUUGUCAAAAAUAUUUGUUUUAUAAAAUAGAUUUCAGAGUAGCAUGCGUGUGGAAGAAAGGAGGAGGGAAGUGUCACAUGCAAAAACAGGAUGCAACAAGUGAAGCACACAGAUAGCAUGGGAGAGAAAAUGUGAAAAGCAAUUCCUGAUUUGUGGAACCGAUUUGCAGCUGAAAUGAACCGUCCUAAGGAGGAAUGGCGUAGGGAUGCUUUUGUAUUUCCAGGAAACCAGGGCUACCAAACUGGCAGAGACUCUACUGUUCUUCAAGAGAUAUUGGACUUAGACAGAAGCGAAAGGACCUUUUUCUUUUCCUCUGACAGGACAACUGGAUCGGUGAAUGAAGGUGGCAAAGUACUGAAGAACAGGACCUCAAGAGACGAGAGAAACUUUUGCAGAUUGAAGUUUGAAUUAGCUUGUACUAGGCAUAACACUUUGAGUGACACGAGGCUGGCCAAAGACUAAGGGAAAACUUCAAGCCAGAUAUAUGUGUUCAAGAGCUCUAACUCUGCAGUGAAAGAAGAGGACAGAGUGCUUAUUGAUUCGUGUUACAGAAGCGCAGGAUGUUAUUGGCUUACCCCAUGUUCAGUGUUAUCUAAGGACAAUCAACUCUCAAGUUAAGUUACAGCAGCCUCCAGUGCCUGAUGCUGUUUCUAACCAUUGGAGGCAAAACAAGGUAUAGAAUAUGCAGUAAUCUGGGUAUUUCAAAAAGUUGGAUUUGUGGAUAUUUUAAUACCAGAAGUUGCCAGCUCUCAUGAAGAUUCAUGAAAGGGAUGAGCACGUGCUCAUGAAAACACUGGCAUAUUUGUUGAAAUAUGCCUGCGUCCAGUUUCUUGAUAGUUACUGUUUUGUCUCUUAUUCAGGGUAGAAGGGGAAAAAAAUCUUGGGCUGCUUUACGUUUAGUGCCAUUCAGAUCGAUGUAGUGUUUUUUUACAGUCUAAUAGCCAUUAAUCCCCUAGUUGCUCACCUUAGUCCAUAUGUAAAAGUAAUUGAAAUCAGUGGUUUUAAUUCAAAAACUUCAAUAAGCUUUUAAUCAAGCUCUUUGGUUAGUUCUUUCAUAAUGGUCAAUGAUGUGUGUAUUUUUUUAUAUUUGACCCUUUAAUGUCUUCUGACUUCUACUAUUGUUGAAGCUUCUGUGAGCCUGAAUGAAGUCUGAGACUGAAAAGACAGUCGACGGUAUCUGAAUUGUAAUAGUCAAAAAAAAUCUUCCAGAUCUCUUAAUAGCUCUUUUGAAAUGUGGAGAACAACUCCCAUGGAAGAUUCUACACAUCUGGUUAGUAAGAUCAAUCUGACAGUAACUACUAGUUAUGAAAACGCUAGUAAGCAUUUCUAUGAGUACCAUUCUAGUCCUUUCUGUUUUAUCUUCGAUUGGCUUGUCUCUGCUCUUUCACAUUUGUAUGUAAAAUGUCAAGCAUGGUAUCAUUAAAAAGUAGAAAAAACUCUCACAAAUACCUCUUAGAAAAAUACUUUCUGAUAUAAACUAUCUUGAUCUUGAUUUCUUUCAGCGUUUAUUUCCUAACUUGAAUAUAGUGGAGUAAGUAUUGCAAAUUCGAUUCACACAGUUCAUCGAAAAUCACUGGAUUUGGUGAGGAUAAUAUUAAAUCCAAUGACAUUCUUCUCCUUAAUGAUAGAGCAAUACAUAGUCAUUAAAAUCCAGGUUAUGUAAUUGUUGGGUUGCAGCCAGAACGUAUGAAGCCAUCACCUUGCCAUCUAUGGCAUCUGUGAUGCUUUGCUACUGUUCAUGAUGGAAUUCAGUGUAUUGCUGUCUUCUAGUAAUGUGGUAUAAAUACACUCCUCACUUGCGCUGUGGUUUUGAAUAGGUAUAUACUAGAAAGUUGCAUUGAUGGAACCAGAGCCAUCUGUAUUAUAAUCUUCAUUUGACAGUUUCUUCAUCUUCUAGUUGGAGGAAGUAUUAUAUAGCAUUUGUUGUCCUAGGUAUCCUUCACAGAAAUGAAUAGUUAAACUAUGAGUUAAGGAAAUAUUACACCUUAUUAGCAUUGUACUGUUAGUAGUGAACCAACAUUUUAGUUUGUUCCCUUGUUUAAGCUGACUUCUUGAUCUCUUGACACAACUGGGAGGGGAAAAGGUACAGGCCACUAAAGAACAUUUCAUAAACUCAACACCCACAAAACACAACUGGCAUAUAUCAGUAUUAUUUCCAUGCUUUAAGACUUACAGCAAGCUGGGCAGGGAGGACAGUGGAAGCAAGUGGUUUAGCUGACUGACCACAGUAGGAAAUUUCAGAGGGCCAUAGCGAUCCCAGAACGGUACCUGUUCUUCAGAAACACAGCAAAUGCUCACAGAAUGCUCACUGCAAAUUAAAGUAGAACAUCUUUGGCCCAAGGUGUCUUGACUGAUUUAAUUUCUGUAUCUUUUAUAGCUUACAUUAUAUUACGUUAAUUUUAUAAUAUUUAUAAUAUAAUAAAGGUUAAUUUCAUAUCUUUUCA